UCACUCUCAGGGUUACAGACACACACACAGACAGACAGGUACCUUCAGUUGUCUCACUCUCUGGGUUACAGACACACACACACAGACAGACAGACAGGUACCUUCAGUUGUCUCACUCUCGGGGUUACAGACACACACACAGACAGACAGGUACCUUCAGUUGUCUCACUCUCGGGGUUACAGACACACACACAGACAGACAGGUACCUUCAGUUGUCUCACUCUCGGGGUUACA
Dicentrarchus labrax (European seabass) is the source of this 235-nucleotide long non-coding RNA. RefSeq lists it as uncharacterized. The record is from RefSeq and is a predicted model, not a curated record. The transcript has 3 exons. NCBI's taxonomy places the organism in Eukaryota, Metazoa, Chordata, Actinopteri, Moronidae.